CUUGGUCAUUUAGAGGAAGUAAAAGUCGUAACAAGGUAACCGUAGGUGAACCUGCGGUUGGAUCAUUACUGAUUUCUGUCACAUUCGUGACGACCACCCUUGUGCACCAGUUCACUGUAUCUUGCGAGUCUCUGACUUGCAGUUUAAACCCUUUUUUGUGUAAUCUGAUUCAUAUCUAAAUGAAAACAACUUUUGACAACGGAUCUCUUGGCUCUCGCAACGAUGAAGAACGCAGCGAAAUGCGAUACGUAGUGUGAAUUGCAGAAUUCCGUGAAUCAUCGAAUCUUUGAACGCAACUUGCACUCUGUUUCGGCAGAGUAUGCCUGUUUGAGAAUCUAUAGUAUUCUUUGCCUUUGUUGAUUGUGCUUGUCGCGGUCAGCAGAGCAAGAUGUGAGCGCUGUUGCGUGCAACUCGCUUGAAUUGCAUUUUACUUGGAGCAAGUGUAUGAAGGGAAACCGCUUCCUUGCUCCAUUAGAACCUUGGUCUCAAAUCAGGCAGGAAGACCCGCUGAACUUAAGCAUAUCAAUAAGCGGAGGA
Molecule: ribosomal RNA, 537 nt
Filed under: uncultured fungus
Lineage: Eukaryota; Fungi
Description: eukaryotic LSU rRNA
Rfam family: 5.8S ribosomal RNA (bases 188-337)
Source: RNAcentral